Molecule: ribosomal RNA, 557 nt
Filed under: uncultured bacterium
Lineage: Bacteria
Description: partial 16S ribosomal RNA
Rfam family: Bacterial small subunit ribosomal RNA
Source: RNAcentral
UGGGGAAUUUUGGACAAUGGGCGAAAGCCUGAUCCAGCAAUGCCGCGUGUGUGAAGAAGGCCUUCGGGUUGUAAAGCACUUUUGUCCGGAAAGAAAUCCUUGGCUCUAAUACAGUCGGGGGAUGACGGUACCGGAAGAAUAAGCACCGGCUAACUACGUGCCAGCAGCCGCGGUAAUACGUAGGGUGCAAGCGUUAAUCGGAAUUACUGGGCGUAAAGCGUGCGCAGGCGGUUUGCUAAGACCGAUGUGAAAUCCCCGGGCUCAACCUGGGAACUGCAUUGGUGACUGGCAGGCUAGAGUAUGGCAGAGGGGGGUAGAAUUCCACGUGUAGCAGUGAAAUGCGUAGAGAUGUGGAGGAAUACCGAUGGCGAAGGCAGCCCCCUGGGCCAAUACUGACGCUCAUGCACGAAAGCGUGGGGAGCAAAGCAGGAUUAGAUACCCCUGGUAGUCCCACGCCCUAAACGAUGUCAACUAGUUGUUGGGGAUUCAUUUCCUUAGUAACGUAGCUAACGCGUGAAGUUGACCGCCUGGGGAGUACGGUCGCAAGAUUAAAACUC